This 1078-nucleotide long non-coding RNA is filed under the name Pan troglodytes (chimpanzee). RNAcentral's name for it is "long non-coding RNA NONPTRT003541". The record is from RNAcentral. Lineage: Eukaryota; Metazoa; Chordata; Mammalia; Primates; Hominidae.
CGGCGCCGGGAGAGACCUCGUAACGGAACUGGGACGCCAGCGCUGCAUUGUGGGAGCUUUUAAAGCGGCGGGGAGCUCGGCGCGACCCUCGGGCCCACCGGGCCACGCUCGCCCGGCCCGCGACGCCCCCCCGCUGUCGCCUGGCCCGCGACGCACCGAGGCCUGAGGACCCGAAAGCCGGGCGCGGGGAGAUGACCGGUGGCUCGUGACGGUCCCACGGGCAAAAUCUUCCAUCGCCCGGGGCUGAGACUUGUCAAACUGCCCUCUACGGUCACCCGGAAAGUAGGAGGCUUUUUCUGCAGAGGGAAAAAAAUCAAAAAGAGCCGUUCCAUCCCCCCUCCAAGGACUGGGUUUGAAUUGCUUUUCAUCUGCAGUGGCUGUGAUUCAGCGUCCCUCUUAGCAGCAGGCACUGACAGAGGCAGGAGAGGAAAAAAGAAAGAAAGAAAGAGAAAACACAGCAAAUGAAUCAAACGGACCAGGUAGCAGGCAAGAGUGUGGUUAUCGUUGGACCAGGAUUCAGGAUCUGACCGAGUAGCUGACUCUUAAUCCAGUUUGUGUUGAUCACCAGGAGGAUCUGGACCUCAGUGUUAUCACAUCUAAAGGUAAGAGGCCAUCCUAGGAAACAAUCCCGUGAGUGAUAUUUCAUGAAUUAUCUUCGUGAACCGGAGCAAGUCGCUUUGCCUUCCUGAACCUUCUCUGAGAUGGAAGGGUGAUCUGAAAAUAUGCCUCCCGGCUAAACCUCAGCCCUGGCUGGCAGAUCUGGCUGGCUAAUGGGACUCCCCUUUUCCUCUCCAUGGCUCCUGUGCCUCCCCCUCAAGACUGUGUGUAUUCCAAGAGGACUACAUUCCCAGGUGGGGGUGUAUUGUUCUUAUAAUGAAGGCUUACAGAAUUUCCUCGAAUGUUGCAUCUAGUUUUAGCGUUCUGAAUCUGUGAAUCACAAAUUAGAAUUGGUGCCUUUGGAAGAGGAGAUGGGACAUGAAGCCUGCUCCACCUUCUGAUAAUGCCCUAAAGAGCAGCUCAAAAGACAGCUAAAAGAACCCAGAAAACAAAAUAGGUAAGUCUUGAAGAGAGAUCAACA